AACGAACGCUGGCGGCAGGCCUAACACAUGCAAGUCGAGCGCCCCGCAAGGGGAGCGGCGGACGGGUGAGUAACGCGUGGGAACGUACCCUUUGCUACGGAAUAGCCUCGGGAAACUGGGAGUAAUACCGUAUGUGUCCUUCGGGAGAAAGAUUUAUCGGCAAGGGAUCGGCCCGCGUUGGAUUAGGUAGUUGGUGGGGUAAUGGCCUACCAAGCCGACGAUCCAUAGCUGGUUUGAGAGGAUGAUCAGCCACACUGGGACUGAGACACGGCCCAGACUCCUACGGGAGGCAGCAGUGGGGAAUCUUAGACAAUGGGCGCAAGCCUGAUCUAGCCAUGCCGCGUGAGUGAUGAAGGCCUUAGGGUUGUAAAGCUCUUUCAGGGGGGAAGAUAAUGACUGUACCCCCAGAAGAAGCCCCGGCUAACUCCGUG
Molecule: ribosomal RNA, 431 nt
Filed under: uncultured bacterium
Lineage: Bacteria
Description: partial 16S ribosomal RNA
Rfam family: Bacterial small subunit ribosomal RNA
Source: RNAcentral